Non-coding RNA from Pogona vitticeps (central bearded dragon), 1027 nucleotides. NCBI's taxonomy places the organism in Eukaryota, Metazoa, Chordata, Lepidosauria, Squamata, Agamidae. The record is from RefSeq and is a predicted model, not a curated record.
AUGUCUGCUCAGGUGGCUUACGGACUUCCAUGAAAGGAGGAAGUCAAAAGGAGAACUUGGAAAAGUUUGGUUUUACUCAAUUAAUCAAGUUAUUUUACUACAGCUCCCAAAAUCCUGCAGCCAGCAUGCUGGCUGAAAGAUUGCGGGAACUGUAAUCUUGAAAAGAAAAGAAAAGAAGGAAUGUUUCCAAUCUCUGCUCAACAGCUUUUCCAACCUCCGAGUAUAUGAUCUCUGCUCUUUCACUCACCAGGUUCCUGUGUGUAAGCUUGAUAGGAGGGAGGAAGAGGAAGAGCCAUCUUGUCGUCCUGGACAGGAGGACUGUCAUCAAGCAGUGCCACUUUCCUUAAGAUGUGUAAAAUACCAGGAGACCAGAGAAGCAAAGCAAUUCCUUGAAACUUCAAGACAACACCCUGAAACCUAGCAAACCUGGACCCCUAACCCCACAGGACCAAGACUGUGGAUCUGACUCCAUUUCUCAAAUUCAGUGUCUGCUACUUUUUGAAAACAAGACCUGCAUAUAAGAUGUAGUGGGUGAGAAAGGAGAAAGUCACACACAGAAUGUUUUUCAGGAGGAACAAGGUGGCAGAAGGAAGAAAAAUGAGGGCAGGGUUGGUGCACACAUUCUGGAAGAUGUAUUUGAACUUUUUUCCUGGAAAACAUCAUAAGGCAUUUCAAUUUAAUUAUACGAAAGCUUCCCAUAAGUUUCCUUCUUCAUUUCUCUGCUCCCACAAUCUUUAUGCAUAGGAGGCUGGUAGACAUUAAGUUUUUUACCGUCUUACUAGUCAACUUUUCCCAUCUUUCCAAGUUCUACCAGGAAGGUGAUCAAAUGUUAAUCCAACCACAUUCUAGUUUCUUUUCUUCUUAGCAGCCAGCUUUGUAUGUGCUUUAGCAUUACGGCCUCAGACCAGAGGAAGCUGUUAGUGUUCCUGGCCUGCCUGUGAAAUGGGAACAGGCAGUGCAAUCAUGACUCGAUGGGCCAAUUGUAGAGGGUUAGGAUUAGGAAUGGAUCUAACUAUUCAUUAGAGGU